GAGUUUGAUCGUGGCUCAGAUUGAACGCUGGCGGCAGGCCUAACACAUGCAAGUCGAGCGGAUGACGGGAGCUUGCUCCUUGAUUCAGCGGCGGACGGGUGAGUAAUGCCUAGGAAUCUGGCCUGGGUAGUGGGGGGACAACGUUUCGAAAGGAACGCUAAUACCGCAGUACGUCCUACGGGAGAAAGCAGGGGACCUUCGGGCCUUGCGCUAUCAGAUGAGCCUAGGUCGGAUUAGCUAGUUGGUGGGGUAAUGGCUCACCAAGGCGACGGAUCCGUAACUGGUCUGAGAGGAUGAUCAGUCACACUGGAACUGAGACACGGUCCAGACGUCCUACGGGAGGCAGCAGUGGGGAAUAUUGGACAAUGGGCGAAAGCCUGAUCCAGCCAUGCCGCGUGUGU
Molecule: ribosomal RNA, 401 nt
Filed under: bacterium enrichment culture clone ALO1_GLFRUDD03HCDXK
Lineage: Bacteria
Description: bacterial SSU rRNA
Rfam family: Bacterial small subunit ribosomal RNA
Source: RNAcentral